AGCAGCCGCGGUAAUUCCAGCUCCAAUAGCGUAUAUUAAAGUUGUUGCAGUUAAAAAGCUCGUAGUUGAAUUUCGGGGUUAGUAGGUUGGUCGUGCCUUUGGUAUGUACUGGUCUCACUGAUUCCUCCUUCUUGAAGAACUGUAAUGUCCAUUAAUUUGGUGUUGCAGGGAAACAGGACUGUUACUUUGAAAAAAUUAGAGUGUUUAAAGCAGGCUAACGCCUGAAUACAUUAGCAUGGAAUAAUGAAAUAGGACGUUUGAUCCUAUUUUGUUGGUUUCUAGGAUCGACGUAAUGAUUAAUAGGGAUAGUUGGGGGCAUUAGUAUUCAAUUGUCAGAGGUGAAAUUCUUGGAUUUAUUGAAGACUAACUACUGCGGAAGCAUUUGCCAAGGAUGUUUUCAUUAAUCAAGAACGAAAGUUAGGGGAUCGAAGACGAUCAGAUACCGUCGUAGUCUUAACCAUAAACUAUGCCGACUAGGGAUCGGAUGAUGUUAAUUUUUAAUGACUCAUUCGGCGCCUUA
Molecule: ribosomal RNA, 520 nt
Filed under: uncultured Glomus
Lineage: Eukaryota; Fungi; Glomeromycota; Glomeromycetes; Glomerales; Glomeraceae
Description: SSU rRNA
Rfam family: Eukaryotic small subunit ribosomal RNA
Source: RNAcentral